This 445-nucleotide ribosomal RNA is filed under the name uncultured Rhodocyclaceae bacterium. RNAcentral describes it as "bacterial SSU rRNA". It matches the Rfam family "Bacterial small subunit ribosomal RNA", at positions 938 to 1382 of the family's 1533-position model. The record is from RNAcentral. Lineage: Bacteria; Pseudomonadati; Pseudomonadota; Betaproteobacteria; Rhodocyclales; Rhodocyclaceae.
GAUGUGGAUUAAUUCGAUGCAACGCGAAAACCUUACUACCCUUGACAUGUCCGGAAUCCCGAAGAGAUUUUGGGAGUGCUCGCAAGAGAGCCGGAACACAGGUGCUGCAUGGCUGUCGUCAGCUCGUGUCGUAAGAUGUUGGGUUAAGUCCCGCAACGAGCGCAACCCUUGUCAUUAGUUGCCAUCAUUUGGUUGGGCACUCUAAUGAGACUGCCGGUGACAAACCGGAGGAAGGUGGGGAUGACGUCAAGUCCUCAUGGCCCUUAUGGGUAGGGCUUCACACGUCAUACAAUGGUCGGUACAGAGGGUUGCCAACCCGCGAGGGGGAGCUAAUCCCACAAAGCCGAUCGUAGUCCGGAUCGCAGUCUGCAACUCGACUGCGUGAAGUCGGGAAUCGCUAGUAAUCGUGGAUCAGCACGUCACGGUGAAUACGUUCCCGGGUCUU